This 342-nucleotide unclassified non-coding RNA is filed under the name soil metagenome. Its description in RNAcentral is "partial contains 5.8S ribosomal RNA, internal transcribed spacer 2, and large subunit ribosomal RNA". The stretch from base 1 to 120 matches the Rfam family "5.8S ribosomal RNA", at positions 35 to 154 of the family's 154-position model. The record is from RNAcentral.
GAUGAAGAACGCAGUGAAAUGCGAUAAGUAGUGUGAAUUGCAGAAUUCAGUGAAUCAUCGAAUCUUUGAACGCACAUUGCGCCUCCUGGUAUUCCGGGAGGCAUGCCUGUUCGAGCGUCAUCAAAAACCUCAACCCAUGAUUUAUUGUGAGUUGGUUCUGCAUUGGACUCCUUGUGGGUCCUUUGCGAAAUCCAAUGGCGAAGAGCCACGCAACCAAAGCGUAGUAUAACUAUUUCGUUAUGGAAGCGUGGGUGCCUCUGCCGUAACCCCCAAUUUCUUAGUUUUUGACCUCGGAUCAGGUAGGGAUACCCGCUGAACUUAAGCAUAUCAAUAAGCGGAGGA